This 377-nucleotide ribosomal RNA is filed under the name uncultured bacterium. RNAcentral describes it as "bacterial SSU rRNA". It matches the Rfam family "Bacterial small subunit ribosomal RNA", at positions 523 to 898 of the family's 1533-position model. The record is from RNAcentral.
ACACGUGGGUGGCGAGCGUUAUUCGGAUUUACUGGGCGUAAAGGGUCCGCAGGGGGCCUGCCACGCCCGCCGUGAAAUUUCAGGGCUCAACCCUGAACCUGCGGCGGGUACGGGCGGGCUGGAGUGCAGGAUGGGCAGACGGAAUUCCAGGUGUAGCGGUGGAAUGCGUAGAUAUCUGGAAGAACACCGAUGGCGAAGGCGGUCUGCUGGCCUGCAACUGACCCUCAGGGACGAGAGCGUGGGUAGCAAACAGGAUUAGAUACCCUGGUAGUCCACGCCGUAAACGUUGUGUGCCAGAUGUGGGUGGGUUCGGCCCCAUCCGCGUCCAAGCUAACGCGAUCAGCUCACCGCCUGGGGACUACGGCCGCAAGGCUAAA